UGUGUUGCUUACCUACGAAAAGGAAUUCGAUCGUUCGAUUGCCCCUUUCCGCCCGACGCCCUCUAUGGGCGCGGGGUGGACACCAGGCAGGCUUCGUGUCUCCUGGCAUGCCUCGCCCAGUUGCGUGGGCUGCCUAGGCGCACGGCGUCGUUGCCCGUUCUCUCGGAUGCGGAAUGUUGUGCGCGGGCGCGGGGGUCUCGGCCUUCGCCAGCCCGAGCUACGCAUUUGUCCCUUGACACGAACGACGGUCGUGCCCGUCUUGACCCCGUCGUCGCCUUCGGGCUCGAUGGGGCUCAUGCGGGCGUCGACGUCGCCAAGGAAUGCUACCUGGUUGAUCCUGCCAGUAGUCAU
RNAcentral lists this unclassified non-coding RNA (351 nucleotides) under Choerospondias axillaris. RNAcentral describes it as "partial external transcribed spacer". The record is from RNAcentral. Lineage: Eukaryota; Viridiplantae; Streptophyta; Magnoliopsida; Sapindales; Anacardiaceae.